UCGUGAAUUUUCCGCAAUGGGCGAAAGCCUGACGGAGCGACACCGCGUGCAGGAUGAAGGCCUUCGGGUUGUAAACUGCUGUCAGGUUCUAGGAACCAGCUGGCGUGAAUAGCGCCAGCCCUGACCAAGACCAAAGGAAGCAGCGGCUAACUCUGUGCCAGCAGCCGCGGUAAGACAGAGGUUGCAAACGUUGUUCGGAAUUACUGGGCAUAAAGCGCACGUAGGUGGUCCGCUAAGUCGAUUGUGAAAUUCCCCGGCUCAACCGGGGAACGGCACUCGAUACUGGCGGGCUUGAGGUCCGGAGGGGUGAGUGGAACUCCUGGUGGAGCGGUGAAAUGCGUAGAUAUCAGGAGGAACACCGGUGGCGAAAGCGGCUCACUGGCCGGAAACUGACACUGAGGUGCGAAAGCUAGGGUAGCAAACGGGAUUAGAUACCCCCGUAGUCC
RNAcentral lists this ribosomal RNA (446 nucleotides) under uncultured bacterium. RNAcentral's name for it is "bacterial SSU rRNA". It matches the Rfam family "Bacterial small subunit ribosomal RNA", at positions 355 to 796 of the family's 1533-position model. The record is from RNAcentral.